This 687-nucleotide non-coding RNA is filed under the name Pongo abelii (Sumatran orangutan). The record is from RNAcentral. Lineage: Eukaryota; Metazoa; Chordata; Mammalia; Primates; Hominidae.
AGUCAUCUGGCAGCAGCUCGAGAAGCAUGUCCUCCACGCCGUCAAUCUGAGAGGCAGAGAGAGAGAGAAGGCAUUGAUCGGCCAGAGCCCUCCACUCCCUCCAUUCCUCACUCCUGCGCCUUCGCCUAGCUGGAAACAGCAGGUAGGAACCCAGGUGUGAGGAUUUCAGGGGCUCUCGGAGACUGCCCCUCCUCCCACCAGCCUUCAGCCUGUGACUGCCCACCAGAGAUGUCUUCCUGCGGCCAGCUGGAGGCUGGGAGGAAAUGGAGGCUGGAAUGCAAUGGCGCGAUCUUGGCUCACUGCAACCUCAACCUCCUGGGUUCAAGCGAUUCUCCUGCCUCUGCCUCCUGAGUAGCGAGAUUACAGACAAAGAAUUCAAGACUAAGCUGGGCAUGGUGGCACACACCUGUAGUCUCAGCUACUUGGGAGGCUGGGCAGGAGAAUCGCAUGAACCUGGGAGGCGGAGGUUGCAGUGAGCUGAGAUCACGCCACUGCACUCCAGCCUGGCCACAGAGCGAGACUCUGUCUCAAAAAAAAAAAAAUAAUAAUAAUAAUUCAAGACUAAGAAGAGUGAAGUAUGAAGUAAUUCACCCACAGACACCCAGCUAGUGAGUGGCAGACCUGGAAGACAAACUAGUUCUGUCUGGCAUCAGAAUCUAUGCUGUCAGCCACCUCACCACAUUCAUG